AAUCCAUAGGUUAAUGAGGCGAACCGGGGGAACUGAAACAUCUAAGUACCCCGAGGAAAAGAAAUCAACCGAGAUUCCCCCAGUAGCGGCGAGCGAACGGGGAGGAGCCCAGAGCCUGAAUCAGCAUGUGUGUUAGUGGAAGCGUCUGGAAAGGCGCGCGAUACAGGGUGACAGCCCCGUACACAAAAGCGCAUGUGCUGUGAGCUCGAUGAGUAGGGCGGGACACGUGGUAUCCUGUCUGAAUAUGGGGGGACCAUCCUCCAAGGCUAAAUACUCCUGACUGACCGAUAGUGAACCAGUACCGUGAGGGAAAGGCGAAAAGAACCCCGGCGAGGGGAGUGAAAAAGAACCUGAAACCGUGUACGUACAAGCAGUGGGAGCCCCACCACCAAAGCAUUUGCUGUACCGCGUUGACGGAGCGAAGCGACGUCAAACCGAUAAAACAGCAGUGUAAAGUGAGCCGCAGGGCGCUUUGCGCGACAGCGCAAAGGCAGGCGGUUUCGCGUAGCGAAAGCGAAUGCUUUGGGGUGGGGUGACUGCGUACCUUUUGUAUAAUGGGUCAGCGACUUAUAUUCUGUAGCAAGGUUAACCGAAUAGGGGAGCCGGAGGGAAACCGAGUCUUAACCGGGCGUUAAGUUGCAGGGUAUAGACCCGAAACCCGGUGAUCUAGCCAUGGGCAGGUUGAAGGUUGGGUAACACUAACUGGAGGACCGAACCGACUAAUGUUGAAAAAUUAGCGGAUGACCUGUGGCUGGGGGUGAAAGGCCAAUCAAACCGGGAGAUAGCUGGUUCUCCCCGAAAGCUAUUUAGGUAGCGCCUCGUGAAUUCAUCUCCGGGGGUAGAGCACUGUUUCGGCUAGGGGGCCAUCCCGGCUUACCAACCCGAUGCAAACUGCGAAUACCGGAGAAUGUUAUCACGGGAGACACACGGCGGGUGCUAACGUCCGUCGUGAAGAGGGAAACAACCCAGACCGCCAGCUAAGGUCCCAAAGUCAUGGUUAAGUGGGAAACGAUGUGGGAAGGCCCAGACAGCCAGGAUGUUGGCUUAGAAGCAGCCAUCAUUUAAAGAAAGCGUAAUAGCUCACUGGUCGAGUCGGCCUGCGCGGAAGAUGUAACGGGGCUAAACCAUGCACCGAAGCUGCGGCAGCGACACUGUGUGUUGUUGGGUAGGGGAGCGUUCUGUAAGCCUGUGAAGGUGUGUCGUGAGGCAUGCUGGAGGUAUCAGAAGUGCGAAUGCUGACAUAAGUAACGAUAAAGCGGGUGAAAAGCCCGCUCGCCGGAAGACCAAGGGUUCCUGUCCAACGUUAAUCGGGGCAGGGUGAGUCGACCCCUAAGGCGAGGCCGAAAGGCGUAGUCGAUGGGAAACGGGUUAAUAUUCCCGUACUUGGUGUUACUGCGAAGGGGGGACGGAGAAGGCUAUGUUGGCCGGGCGACGGUUGUCCCGGUUUAAGCGUGUAGGUGUGUGUUCCAGGUAAAUCCGGUUCACUUUAACACUGAGGCGUGACGACGAGGCACUACGGUGCUGAAGCAACAAAUGCCCUGCUUCCAGGAAAAGCCUCUAAGCAUCAGGUAACAUCAAAUCGUACCCCAAACCGACACAGGUGGUCAGGUAGAGAAUACCAAGGCGCUUGAGAGAACUCGGGUGAAGGAACUAGGCAAAAUGGUGCCGUAACUUCGGGAGAAGGCACGCUGACACGUAGGUGAAGUGAUUUACUCAUGGAGCUGAAGUCAGUCGAAGAUACCAGCUGGCUGCAACUGUUUAUUAAAAACACAGCACUGUGCAAACACGAAAGUGGACGUAUACGGUGUGACGCCUGCCCGGUGCCGGAAGGUUAAUUGAUGGGGUCAGCGCAAGCGAAGCUCCUGAUCGAAGCCCCGGUAAACGGCGGCCGUAACUAUAACGGUCCUAAGGUAGCGAAAUUCCUUGUCGGGUAAGUUCCGACCUGCACGAAUGGCGUAAUGAUGGCCAGGCUGUCUCCACCCGAGACUCAGUGAAAUUGAACUCGCUGUGAAGAUGCAGUGUACCCGCGGCAAGACGGAAAGACCCCGUGAACCUUUACUAUAGCUUGACACUGAACAUUGAGCCUUGAUGUGUAGGAUAGGUGGGAGGCUUUGAAGUGUGGACGCCAGUCUGCAUGGAGCCGACCUUGAAAUACCACCCUUUAAUGUUUGAUGUUCUAACGUGGACCCGUUACCCGGGUUGCGGACAGUGUCUGGUGGGUAGUUUGACUGGGGCGGUCUCCUCCUAAAGAGUAACGGAGGAGCACGAAGGUUGGCUAAUCCUGGUCGGACAUCAGGAGGUUAGUGCAAUGGCAUAAGCCAGCUUGACUGCGAGCGUGACGGCGCGAGCAGGUGCGAAAGCAGGUCAUAGUGAUCCGGUGGUUCUGAAUGGAAGGGCCAUCGCUCAACGGAUAAAAGGUACUCCGGGGAUAACAGGCUGAUACCGCCCAAGAGUUCAUAUCGACGGCGGUGUUUGGCACCUCGAUGUCGGCUCAUCACAUCCUGGGGCUGAAGUAGGUCCCAAGGGUAUGGCUGUUCGCCAUUUAAAGUGGUACGCGAGCUGGGUUUAGAACGUCGUGAGACAGUUCGGUCCCUAUCUGCCGUGGGCGCUGGAGAACUGAGGGGGGCUGCUCCUAGUACGAGAGGACCGGAGUGGACGCAUCACUGGUGUUCGGGUUGUCAUGCCAAUGGCACUGCCCGGUAGCUAAAUGCGGAAGAGAUAAGUGCUGAAAGCAUCUAAGCACGAAACUUGCCCCGA
RNAcentral lists this ribosomal RNA (2757 nucleotides) under Salmonella enterica subsp. enterica serovar Enteritidis. RNAcentral's name for it is "partial 23S ribosomal RNA". It matches the Rfam family "Bacterial large subunit ribosomal RNA". Lineage: Bacteria; Pseudomonadati; Pseudomonadota; Gammaproteobacteria; Enterobacterales; Enterobacteriaceae. The record is from RNAcentral.